GCCGUUUAGGACUUCAGCCGCAAAAAAAAUUGGGUGCGGAUGGAUUCAUGGAUCCGUUCCGUUCCUAGUCCUGUGCGGACUUCUAAUGAGAUGGCGACACGUGGCUGACUACUCAACAGGCUCGCCCGGACUCCUAGCGCAUAUUCUGUUGGCUCGCUUCGCCUCCUAGCCUCGGCGGCGGCUCUCGGCUCCAAUCGCCAGCCGCUCUCAUUUUUCAACUGGUUUUAGUUCACCCCAAAAUAAAAAACUUUUUAAAAUUCACUAUCAUAUCGAAUCUUGCGACACAUGCAUGAAACAUUAAAUAUAAAUAAAAAUAAAAACUAAUUAUACAGUUUACCUGUAAAUCGCGAGACGAAUCUUUUAAGCCU
RNAcentral lists this long non-coding RNA (368 nucleotides) under Sorghum bicolor (sorghum). Its description in RNAcentral is "long non-coding RNA (SBIC_LNC004078)". The record is from RNAcentral. Lineage: Eukaryota; Viridiplantae; Streptophyta; Magnoliopsida; Poales; Poaceae.